RNAcentral lists this ribosomal RNA (120 nucleotides) under Zoothamnopsis sinica. Its description in RNAcentral is "5.8S ribosomal RNA". The record is from RNAcentral. Lineage: Eukaryota; Ciliophora; Oligohymenophorea; Sessilida; Zoothamnidae.
UUGACACAAUCAAUAUACCUAAACCUUUGUGCUGUAUGGCUGCUUUUUGGCAGCCAUAUUUUUACAAACCUUACGGUAAAACUCAUAACUAAGAUAAAAAUCAAAAACCAAAAAUACUCA